Molecule: ribosomal RNA, 400 nt
Filed under: uncultured bacterium
Lineage: Bacteria
Description: bacterial SSU rRNA
Rfam family: Bacterial small subunit ribosomal RNA
Source: RNAcentral
AGCGAACGUUAGCGGCGCGCCUAACACAUGCAAGUCGCACGAGAAACGGAGCAAUCCGCGGUACAGUGGCGCACGGGUGAGUAACACGUGGAUGACCUUCCCCGGAGUGGUGGAUGACCUGCCGAAAGGCGGGCUAAUACAGCAUGGGACCACGACGCUUUGGCGAUGUGGUGAAAGCGGGCCUCUAUAUAUAAGCUCGCGCUCCGGGACGGGUCCGCGUCCCAUCAGCUAGUUGGUGAGGUAACGGCUCACCAAGGCUUCGACGGGUAGCUGGUCUGAGAGGAUGGCCAGCCACACUGGAACUGAGACACGGUCCAGACUCCUACGGGAGGCAGCAGUGGGGAAUCUUGCGCAAUGGGCGAAAGCCUGACGCAGCGACGCCGCGUGGGCGAAGAAGGCC